GAAACCGUGUACGUACAAGCAGUGGGAGCACCUUCGGGUGUGACUGCGUACCUUUUGUAUAAUGGGUCAGCGACUUAUAUUCUGUAGCAAGGUUAACCGUAUAGGGGAGCCGCAGGGAAACCGAGUCUUAACUGGGCGUUAAGUUGCAGGGUAUAGACCCGAAACCCGGUGAUCUAGCCAUGGGCAGGUUGAAGGUUGGGUAACACUAACUGGAGGACCGAACCGACUAAUGUUGAAAAAUUAGCGGAUGACUUGUGGCUGGGGGUGAAAGGCCAAUCAAACCGGGAGAUAGCUGGUUCUCCCCGAAAGCUAUUUAGGUAGCGCCUCGUGAACUCAUCUUCGGGGGUAGAGCACUGUUUCGGCUAGGGGGUCAUCCCGACUUACCAACCCGAUGCAAACUACGAAUACCGAAGAAUGUUAUCACGGGAGACACACGGCGGGUGCUAACGUCCGUCGUGAAGAGGGAAACAACCCAGACCGCCAGCUAAGGUCCCAAAGUCAUGGUUAAGUGGGAAACGAUGUGGGAAGGCACAGACAGCCAGGAUGUUGGCUUAGAAGCAGCCAUCAUUUAAAGAAAGCGUAAUAGCUCACUGGUCGAGUCGGCCUGCGCGGAAGAUGUAACGGGGCUAAACCAUGCACCGAAGCUGCGGCAGCGACACUA
This 661-nucleotide ribosomal RNA is filed under the name Klebsiella pneumoniae. Its description in RNAcentral is "partial 23S ribosomal RNA". It matches the Rfam family "Bacterial large subunit ribosomal RNA", at positions 552 to 1216 of the family's 2925-position model. RNAcentral also lists the same sequence under 1 other name. The record is from RNAcentral. Lineage: Bacteria; Pseudomonadati; Pseudomonadota; Gammaproteobacteria; Enterobacterales; Enterobacteriaceae.